This 500-nucleotide ribosomal RNA is filed under the name uncultured bacterium. RNAcentral's name for it is "partial 16S ribosomal RNA". It matches the Rfam family "Bacterial small subunit ribosomal RNA", at positions 29 to 523 of the family's 1533-position model. The record is from RNAcentral.
AUUGAACGCUAGCGGGAUGCCUUACACAUGCAAGUCGAACGGCAGCACGGACUUCGGUCUGGUGGCGAGUGGCGAACGGGUGAGUAAUGUAUCGGAACGUGCCUAGUAGCGGGGGAUAACUACGCGAAAGCGUAGCUAAUACCGCAUACGCCCUACGGGGGAAAGCGGGGGAUCGUAAGACCUCGCACUAUUAGAGCGGCCGAUAUCGGAUUAGCUAGUUGGUGAGGUAAAGGCUCACCAAGGCGACGAUCCGUAGCUGGUUUGAGAGGACGACCAGCCCCACUGGGACUGGGACACGGCCCAGACUCCUACGGGAGGCAGCAGUGGGGAAUUCUGGACAAUGGGGGCAACCCUGAUCCAGCCAUCCCGCGUGUGCGAUGAAGGCCUUCGGGUUGUAAAGCACUUUUGGCAGGAAAGAAACGGCGCCGGAUAAUACCUGGCGCAACUGACGGUACCUGCAGAAUAAGCACCGGCUAACUACGUGCCAGCAGCCGCAGUAA